Molecule: long non-coding RNA, 1179 nt
Filed under: Bos mutus (wild yak)
Lineage: Eukaryota; Metazoa; Chordata; Mammalia; Artiodactyla; Bovidae
Description: lncRNA (ENSBMUG00000009178.1)
Source: RNAcentral
GUCCAGAGCAGCAUCUCAUCUUCUGCUGUUCCAUGCUUUGUAGAUUUCGAAUUUUAUUUUUCACAAUAUUUUUAUUUAAAGAACUUGUCACCUUUUGGAAAUGCAUAUUGCUGACUUGAAAUUUUUUGUAUAAGGUCCUUUGUUUUUGUGUGUGUGUGCAUUUAAGCAGUGUUGAGUUGGCAUAGUUUUAAUUUUUUAAUUUAAAUUAAAGGUGGCUGCCUCCUGAAAGCCAGCAUUAAGUCAGAACAUCCCGGCUCAAGCAAAGAGCCACCUCUGUGCAGAGGUGAAGUCUACUUCUGGUGCCCAAAAGAAAUCAUUCUUUAAUCUCUUGAAGGAAGAGGUUCUUUAUCAGGCUGCAAACCAGUUUUAAUUAUUGCUGAUGACUUAUAAAUGGAUACAAGUCACUUUUAACAACCCUUCUACUUUUUUUAUUUGAAUCUCUGAAUACCUGUCAGUAUUUUAAAGUUGGUAAUCCAGGACAUCUGAAGUAGUUGAAAGGACAAAUUAAAAGUGUAAAUCUUCUCUUCUUUUUGUACCUACUGGCUGCCUUUUUUGGCUUUUUUUUUUUUCCAUUCUUCAUUAAAUUUAUUUUGCACAGUAGUGUUUCUAAGUCUUAGAUAGCUUAACUCUUAACAGAAGACUGGUGACUAACAACCUCUUUUGAUUUGUGGUAUUGUGACUGAUUGCCUUCUCUGUCUUUCUUCAAGGAUUUUCCUUCCUUCCUUGUUUCCCCAGUGAUCUUAGGGCUCUACUGGCAUAUUCCUGUAUCCUGUUUGACAUAGAGAUGCCUCUUAAGAACAGCCUCAUUGCACUCUUUACUGAAGAGCUGCCCACCCAGAGUCUUGACUCUAGGACAGGCCAGAAGGCAGUGCUAUUGAGAGGUGUCAGUUGGUCUUCAGUCUCAUCUGCUGAACCCAGCUUUGAGUAUGAGUUGGCGAGUUAGUGAGCCUCCAUCCUAUGGAAGAGACUUUGGGAAGCUGUCCUUUGUCUCCGUUAUUAGUUAAUAAGAGGUGCCUUUUGAUCCAGAUGUUACCACCUCCUCACUUGGUCAGAGGAUGUACAGUUUUACAAAACUACUAAAGUGGAUUUAAAAUAGUUUUGAUGAAAAAUAGUUUUGAUGAAGCCCGUGCACAAAGCAUUACCUGAUCUUAAGGAAUAGUACUCUAAGCUAAGUUGACG